UUUUAUAUAUAUUUUACAGAGAACGACACUGAAAAACAAGAUGAACAAUCUCCACGAGGCUUCCUGGUGGCUCAGUCAAGAAUCUGCCUACAAUGCAGGAGACUCGGUUCAAUCCCUGGAUCGGAAAGACCCUGGAGAAGGGAAUGGCAAUCCAUUCCAGUAUUCUUGCCUGGAGAGUCUCAUGGACAGAGGAGCCUGGUCGGCUACAGUUCAUGGGGUCGCAAAGAGCUGGACACAACUGAGAGAAUAACACACUCACAAACAACAGCUACAAUCGUGAGAGAACAGAAGAGUAAAACUAAAGUAUACAUGUAUAGGUAUAAAAACAUGAAUGUAUGUAAGACAAAACAGAAUAAUACACCACUUUGGUCCUAUGUAAUACACCAAGAAAUAUAUGCUGAGAUUGUAAAUGUUCACUGGGAGAGAUUGUGAGUAGAUUACAUCUACAAUAUAGGCCUGUGAAAUAUGAAUCAAUGCAGUGUAAUGACUUUCACACUAAAGAGAUAGGCUGGUUUUAACAGAACAGGAAAAAAUUCAGGAAAAUAUUCAGUUACAUCUAAAUACUUAGCAUAUGAAAAGAUGGGAUUCCAAAUCAGCAGGAAAGACUGAAAUUACUUUCUCACACUGUAUACAAAAAUAAACUCAAAGUGACUUAAAUAGAAGACCAAACCAUACAACUAAAAGAAAACAUGGACAGUAUGCCUUUUGACAUUGAUUUUAACAGACUCUUUCUAGAUAUGUCUUCUCAGGUAAGAGAAACAAAGGCAAAUAUAAAUAAAUGUGUCUACAUCAAACUGAAAAUGAAAAGCUUUUGCACAGUGAAGGAAAUGAAACAGCCAUAUUUGGAAACAAUACAUCUGAUAAGGAGUUAAUAUCCAAAAUAUGCAAAGAACUCAUACAACUCAAUAUGCAAAACAAAUUAAAAAUGAGCAGAGUACAUGAAUAGACAUUUUUCCAAAGAAGACAUUCAGAUGGCCAAUAGACAUAUGAAAAGAGUCUCAACAUUAUUAAUAAUCAGGAAAUGCAAAUCAAAACCACAAUGAUAUACUACCUCACACCUGUCAGAAUGGCUAUCAUCAAAAGACAACAAAUAACAAGUACUGGAAAGGAUGCAGAAAAAGAACAUUUGUGAACUGUUGGUGGAUUGCAAAUUAGCUCAGCCACUAUGGAAAACAAUAUGAAGAUUCCUCAAAAAUUAAAAAUAGAACUGCCUUAUUAUCCAGCAGUUUCACUUCUGGUAUUCACCCAAAGAAAACAAAAACACUAAUUUGAAACAACAUACACACAACGUUCACUGAAGCAUUAUUUGCAAUAGCCAAGAUAUAGAAGUAACAAUUGGCCAUCAAUAGAUUAAGUGCAUAAAGAUGCUGUGUGUGCCUGUGUAACAUUACUCAACAAUUAAAAAAAAAAAAAAAAAAAAAAAAAAAAAAAAAAAAAAAAAAAAAAAAAAAAAAAAAAACUUUCUAUUUUACAUGAAUGGACUUAGAUGGUAUUAUGUUAAGUUGAAUGGACUUAGAUGGUAUUAUGUUAAGUUGAAUGGACUUAGAUGGUAUUAUGUUAAGUUGAAUGGACUUAGAUGGUAUUAUGUUA
RNAcentral lists this long non-coding RNA (1590 nucleotides) under Bos grunniens (domestic yak). RNAcentral's name for it is "lncRNA (ENSBGRG00000022505.1)". Lineage: Eukaryota; Metazoa; Chordata; Mammalia; Artiodactyla; Bovidae. The record is from RNAcentral.